AGAAUCAACGCUGGCGGCGUGCCUAACACAUGCAAGUCGAACGCGAAAGGGGAGCAAUCCCUAAGUAGAGUGGCAAACGGGUGAGUAACACGUGGGUGACCUGCCUUCGAGUGGGGGAUAACGUCUCGAAAGGGACGCUAAUACCGCAUGACAUCCUGCCUUUGGACAGGUGGUGAUCAAAGCCGGGGAUCCGCAAGGACCUGGUGCUUGAAGAGGAGCCCGCGUCCGAUUAGCUAGUUGGUGAGGUAAUGGCUCACCAAGGCGACGAUCGGUA
This 274-nucleotide ribosomal RNA is filed under the name uncultured bacterium. RNAcentral's name for it is "partial small subunit ribosomal RNA". It matches the Rfam family "Bacterial small subunit ribosomal RNA", at positions 26 to 285 of the family's 1533-position model. The record is from RNAcentral.